Molecule: ribosomal RNA, 2129 nt
Filed under: Paraclostridium sordellii
Lineage: Bacteria; Bacillati; Bacillota; Clostridia; Peptostreptococcales; Peptostreptococcaceae
Source: RNAcentral
UUAUUUGAGCAACGGGAUAAAUAUGAAUGCAUAUGAAUAUUUAGACGUUGGCGAAAUGAUCAUAGGAUUUUUAAUCAGAUAAAUGUUAUACAGUUUUUAGAGUAUUAACUCUAAAAAAUGUAAAUUUAUAUUGACAUUUUAAACAAAAAAUGUUAUUAUAAUACUUGUUCAGCAAAGAACAAAAUAAUCUAGUUACUAUAGCAAAGAGGAUACACCUGUUCCCAUUCCGAACACAGAAGUUAAGCUCUUUAGCGCCGAUGGUACUUGGUGGGAAGCUGCCUGGGAGAGUAGGACGUAGCUAGGUGAUGUGCCGAAGUGGCGGAACUGGCAGACGCACAGGACUUAAAAUCCUGCGGGACUUACCUCUCGUACCGGUUCGAUUCCGGUCUUCGGCACCAUUUUAAAUAAUAUCGCGGGGUGGAGCAGUUGGCAGCUCGUCGGGCUCAUAACCCGAAGGUCGCAGGUUCGAGUCCUGCCUCCGCAACCAUUAAAAUAAUAAUAUGGCUCAUUGGUCAAGCGGUCAAGACACCGCCCUUUCACGGCGGUAACAGGGGUUCGAUUCCCCUAUGAGUCACCAAUUAAAUAUGCGGGUGUAGCUCAAUGGUAGAGUUCCGGCCUUCCAAGCCGGCUGUGAGGGUUCGAUCCCCUUCACCCGCUCCAAAUUAUGGGACUAUAGCUCAGCUGGGAGAGCACCUGCCUUACAAGCAGGGGGUCACAGGUUCGAGCCCUGUUAGUCCCACCAAUUGCGGCCUGGUAGUUCAGCUGGUUAGAAUGCCAGCCUGUCACGCUGGAGGUCGAGGGUUCGAGUCCCUUCCAGNAAAAGUUUCUAUCGAGAUUAAAGGUGCCCGUACCGCAAACCGACACAGGUGGGUGAGGAGAGUAUCCUAAGGCCAGCGAGAGAACUGUUGUUAAGGAACUCGGCAAAAUGACCCCGUAACUUAGGGAGAAGGGGUGCCACGUUAGGGUUAACGCCCGAGGUGGCCGCAGAGAAUAGGCCCAAGCGACUGUUUACCAAAAACACAGGUUUCUGCUAAGUCGCAAGACGAUGUAUAGGAGCUGACGCCUGCCCGGUGCUGGAAGGUUAAGGGGAUCUGUUAGGAUUUAUCCGAAGCAGUGAACUUAAGCCCCAGUAAACGGCGGCCGUAACUAUAACGGUCCUAAGGUAGCGAAAUUCCUUGUCGGGUAAGUUCCGACCCGCACGAAAGGCGUAACGAUUUGGGCACUGUCUCAACAACAGACUCGGUGAAAUUGUAAUCCCGGUGAAGAUGCCGGGUACCUGCGACAGGACGGAAAGACCCCAUGGAGCUUUACUGUAGCUUGACAUUGAAUUUUGGUGCUACAUGUACAGGAUAGGUGGGAGGCUAUGAAGUCGGGACGCCAGUCUCGGCGGAGCCAUCCUUGGGAUACCACCCUUGUAGUACUGAGAUUCUAACCAGAUACCUUGAAUCAGGUAUUGGGACACUGUCAGGUGGGCAGUUUGACUGGGGCGGUCGCCUCCCAAAGAGUAACGGAGGCGCUCAAAGGUUCUCUCAGCACGGUCGGAAAUCGUGCGUAGAGUGUAAAGGCAGAAGAGAGCUUGAUUGCAAGACAUACAGGUCGAGCAAGGACGAAAGUCGGACUUAGUGAUCCGGUGGUUCCGCAUGGAAGGGCCAUCGCUCAACGGAUAAAAGCUACCCUGGGGAUAACAGGCUUAUCUCCCCCAAGAGUCCACAUCGACGGGGAGGUUUGGCACCUCGAUGUCGGCUCAUCACAUCCUGGGGCUGUAGUAGGUCCCAAGGGUUGGGCUGUUCGCCCAUUAAAGUGGUACGCGAGCUGGGUUCAGAACGUCGUGAGACAGUUCGGUCCCUAUCCGUCGCAGGCGUAGGAAAUUUGAGGAGACCUGUCCUUAGUACGAGAGGACCGGGAUGGACGUACCUCUGGUGUACCAGUUGUUCUGCCAAGGGCAUGGCUGGGUAGCUAUGUACGGAAUGGAUAAGCGCUGAAAGCAUCUAAGCGCGAAGCCAACUUCAAGAUAAGAUUUCCCACCGUAAGGGUAAGAUCCCAGGAAGACUACCUGGUUGAUAGGUCAAAGGUGUAAGUGCAGCAAUGCAUGUAGCUUAUUGAUACUAAUAGAUCGAGGACUUGACCAA